UACAGAGGUCUCAAGCGUUGUUCGGAUUCAUUGGGCGUAAAGGGUGCGUAGGCGGCCAGAUAAGUCCGCUGUGAAAUCUCGAGGCUCAACUUCGAGCUGUCGGUGGAAACUGUCUGGCUAGAGUCCGGAAGAGGAGAAUGGAAUUCCUGGUGUAGCGGUGAAAUGCGCAGAUAUCAGGAAGAACACCCGUGGCGAAGGCGGUUCUCUGGGACGGUACUGACGCUGAGACGCGAAAGCGUGGGGAGCGAACAGG
Molecule: ribosomal RNA, 253 nt
Filed under: uncultured bacterium
Lineage: Bacteria
Description: partial 16S ribosomal RNA
Rfam family: Bacterial small subunit ribosomal RNA
Source: RNAcentral